AAAGAAGGCUGGGAAAGGGAAAGAGUCAAACUGGCCAGACAGGUCUCUAGUGCCUGGAAAGUCAGUGAGUUUGGCCAGCGCAGGAGGAAGCAUGGCCAGUGCAGGAGGAAGUAUACAUGUCUCUGGGAGUGGAGGUCAGGAGAAAGGAAGUAUAUAGGCAUCGAGCUUGUGGUGGGUACCAGCCACUGUGAUAAAAACUGUAUACUGUUAAGUUAUGAAUUCUUCACUUGUAUCCUAAUAAGAAAGUAUUAAUAUUCUUUUUUUAUAUUUAACGAAAAUGAAACUGAAGCUCAAAGAGCUUACGUAUCCCAGGUCACACAGCUAGUAACUAGUCACUGGUAUUUCAAAUCCCAAAGCUCACAGUCUUUCCACUAGAUCACACUAGCAAAAUGUGCUUAGGUAUGAGCAGAUAAAGAUAAGUGACAAGUGAUACCAGGGGCAGGAGCCAGGUGGCAAAAAUAAAUCAAGCUGGAAUGAAUAAAAACAAUGAGGCACGGGGUGGGGAGGGUAGAGACAUAGGGAGGGCUGGAAUGUCUAAGAUUCACAGCCACUAUUUGAGUCAAUUUGAACUAAGCAAGAAUUCUACCCAAGAGUCAGAAAGAUACCAAACAUGGAAGAUGGUGGGGGGUUGAAAAAGCAAGGAUGUUUUUAAAAAGGAACCCCACACAAAAUACUCCUAAACAUUUGGGUACUGUUACUACAGUCUUGUCUUUUAUUAAUUCUUCAUUCUCCUUUAUUAGGGGUUUCCAUAUGCUGAACUGAGGGGAAGAAGGAACUUUUGGCUUCCUCAUAUCAUCCUUCAUUCUUACUUGAUCAGCACUAUAAUCUGUGAUUAUGAGCUCUUCAAGGUCAAACUGCAACAAGAGGAAAGUCGUCUCCUGGUUAGUCCUGGAUUUGAUUAGCGAUCCCACUCAUGGGUGGGUAAAGCCAGAGAGCACUCCGUGUGCCCAAGCAUAGGCAUCACUUAAAAGCAAGAGGAAGAAAGCAGUCUCGAGCUUGGACCUUAGCGACAUCCGCAUCCCACCCCUACAGAGGGGCAGACCCCGUGCUAUGGUGCAGGAGACAGCAGCAACUUGCCUUCCAACUUGAAGAAGAUAUCGCAAUGUGUUCCUGAGCAUUGGAUUUCCAGAAACUUCACUAAGACGACAGUCUUCUGAAAGAUGUGUUAUAAAAGAGUUUUUGGCAUCUUGAAGCUUCUGCCAGAUUUAUUUUGGUAUCGUAUGGCCAGAGACAGUAGAACAUCACAGAUCACGAUGCAGCUUCUGGUCUUGCAAUUUCUGAUGACCCAGCUGCUUCAAGUCCAGGGGCUGCAGAGGCUGGACCACAGAUGGCGAUGUAGCAAUGUCAAGAAGACAGAAGACAAUGUGUCAUGCAUUCCACAAACCAUCAAGGAAAAAGUAAGUUGAGACCCAAAGCAGUUAGCUAAGAUCAUUCCACUACCAUUUGGUGGAGGAAGAUUGAGGCUCAGACUCUCUGAGUCUUACUCUUUCUGCUGCACCAAAGUAGAAAUGCAAAGUAGGCAAAGGAGAGAGAAAGUGGCCGUUCCUGAAGAAGGUAAGAAUAAGAUUUAGCAGAUGUAAAGAAAUGUCAGGUGAGUGUCAGAUAAAAACAAGUUAGCAAUCUGUGAGACGGAGCGGGGUUGAUCAUGACAAAAUCCAGGAUAUGAGAGUGAUAAUGAGCAGUAUUAGGAAGUGGAAGGUAAGGUUGCUGGCAGUAUACUGAGUAACAAACUGAUUUGGACAUUAAGGUUGCUAAGUACUGAGUAGGAGAUUAGAAAAAAUAUGAGAGAGUAAUGUAAGCAGUAGCAUGGUUACAAUGUCCAAGCAAACCAAUGGCAGGAAAUAAUUGAAAUGCGAAAGGUAUUGAAAUAUAGAGAAUAGGCAAGCCCUUUUGGGUUUACCAGAAUAAUAAAAGAAGGCAAGAUAGAUAUAGAUAGAUAGAUAGAUAGAUAGAUAUUGAUAUAGAGAUAUAUAGUUAUAUAGCUAUACAGUUAUUUAUACACAUAUAUAUUUCAUAAUUGUUAGAUAUAUGUAUAGUUAGAUACAGUCUUAUUUGAAGAAGCCACAUUUCCACUGAAGGAGUAAAGAAAGUCUGAAGAUGACAGAAAGUUUCAAGCAGUGAAGUAAAACUUACAUUAAAAAAACAAAUAGGGGCGCCUGGGCGGCUAGUUGGUUAAGCAUCCGACCUUGGAGGCUCGGGUCAUGAUCUUAUGGUUUCUGGAUUCAAGCUCUGCGUCUGGCUCUAUGCUGACAGCUCGGAGCCUGGAGCCUGCUUUGCAUUCUGUGUCUCCCUCUCUCUCUGCCCCUCCCCUGCUCA
Long non-coding RNA from Neofelis nebulosa (Clouded leopard), 2316 nucleotides. RefSeq lists it as uncharacterized. NCBI's taxonomy places the organism in Eukaryota, Metazoa, Chordata, Mammalia, Carnivora, Felidae. The record is from RefSeq and is a predicted model, not a curated record. The transcript is spliced from 7 exons.